Molecule: ribosomal RNA, 452 nt
Filed under: soil fungal sp. DM034
Lineage: Eukaryota; Fungi
Description: eukaryotic LSU rRNA
Rfam family: Eukaryotic large subunit ribosomal RNA
Source: RNAcentral
GUCCAAGUUCCUUGGAACAGGACGUCACAGAGGGUGACAAUCCCGUACGUGGNCGCUAGCUAUUGCCGUGUAAAGCCCCUUCGACGAGUCGAGUUGUUUGGGAAUGCAGCUCUAAAUGGGAGGUAAAUUUCUUCUAAAGCUAAAUAUUGGCCAGAGACCGAUAGCGCACAAGUAGAGUGAUCGAAAGAUGAAAAGCACUUUGGAAAGAGAGUCAAACAGCACGUGAAAUUGUUGAAAGGGAAGCGCUUGCAGCCGGACUUGCUUGCAGUUGCUCAUCCGGGCUUUUGCCCGGUGCACUCUUCUGCAGGCAGGCCAGUAUCAGUUUGGGCGGUGGGAUAAAGGUCUCUGUCACGUUCCUUCCUUCGGGUUGGCCAUAUAGGGAAGAUGUCAUACCACCAGCCUGGACUGACGUCCGCGCAUCUGCUAGGAUGCUGGCGUAAUGGCUGUAAGCU